AUGCCAAUUAAUUUAACUUGGGAGUCAGAACAUGGGUGAUAAGGUCCGUGUUCGAAAGGGAAACAGCCCAGACCACCAGCUAAGGUCCCAAAAUAUAUGUUAAGUGGAAAAGGAUGUGGCGUUGCCCAGACAACUAGGAUGUUGGCUUAGAAGCAGCCAUCAUUUAAAGAGUGCGUAAUAGCUCACUAGUCGAGUGACACUGCGCCGAAAAUGUACCGGGGCUAAACAUAUUACCGAAGCUGUGGAUUGUCCUUUGGACAAUGGUAGGAGAGCGUUCUAAGGGCGUUGAAGCAUGAUCGUAAGGACAUGUGGAGCGCUUAGAAGUGAGAAUGCCGGUGUGAGUAGCGAAAGACGGGUGAGAAUCCCGUCCACCGAUUGACUAAGGUUUCCAGAGGAAGGCUCGUCCGCUCUGGGUUAGUCGGGUCCUAAGCUGAGGCCGACAGGCGUAGGCGAUGGAUAACAGGUUGAUAUUCCUGUACCACCUAUAAUCGUUUUAAUCGAUGGGGGGACGCAGUAGGAUAGGCGAAGCGUGCGAUUGGAUUGCACGUCUAAGCAGUAAGGCUGAGUAUUAGGCAAAUCCGGUACUCGUUAAGGCUGAGCUGUGAUGGGGAGAAGACAUUGUGUCUUCGAGUCGUUGAUUUCACACUGCCGAGAAAAGCCUCUAGAUAGAAAAUAGGUGCCCGUACCGCAAACCGACACAGGUAGUCAAGAUGAGAAUUCUAAGGUGAGCGAGCGAACUCUCGUUAAGGAACUCGGCAAAAUGACCCCGUAACUUCGGGAGAAGGGGUGCUCUUUAGGGUUAACGCCCAGAAGAGCCGCAGUGAAUAGGCCCAAGCGACUGUUUAUCAAAAACACAGGUCUCUGCUAAACCGUAAGGUGAUGUAUAGGGGCUGACGCCUGCCCGGUGCUGGAAGGUUAAGAGGAGUGGUUAGCUUCUGCGAAGCUACGAAUCGAAGCCCCAGUAAACGGCGGCCGUAACUAUAACGGUCCUAAGGUAGCGAAAUUCCUUGUCGGGUAAGUUCCGACCCGCACGAAAGGCGUAACGAUUUGGGCACUGUCUCAACGAGAGACUCGGUGAAAUCAUAGUACCUGUGAAGAUGCAGGUUACCCGCGACAGGACGGAAAGACCCCGUGGAGCUUUACUGUAGCCUGAUAUUGAAAUUCGGCACAGCUUGUACAGGAUAGGUAGGAGCCUUUGAAACGUGAGCGCUAGCUUACGUGGAGGCGCUGGUGGGAUACUACCCUAGCUG
RNAcentral lists this ribosomal RNA (1250 nucleotides) under Staphylococcus aureus. RNAcentral describes it as "partial 23S ribosomal RNA". It matches the Rfam family "Bacterial large subunit ribosomal RNA", at positions 960 to 2211 of the family's 2925-position model. Lineage: Bacteria; Bacillati; Bacillota; Bacilli; Caryophanales; Staphylococcaceae. The record is from RNAcentral.